RNAcentral lists this unclassified non-coding RNA (254 nucleotides) under fungal sp. Its description in RNAcentral is "partial contains 5.8S ribosomal RNA, internal transcribed spacer 2, and large subunit ribosomal RNA". The record is from RNAcentral. Lineage: Eukaryota; Fungi.
CGCACAUUGCGCCCUUUGGCAUUCCGAAGGGCAUGCCCGUUCGAGCGUCAUUAAAUCCAAUCAAGCCUGGCUUGGUAUUGGGCGUCGGGGUGUCCCCGCGCCUCAAUUUCACCGGCUGGCCGUCGCCCGUCUUAGCGUUGUGACUUAUGUUUCGCUAGCGAUGGGAGGGGACCACGCCGUUAAACCCCACAGAUUCCCAAUGGAAUUUGAUUAAGGUUGACCUCGGAUCGGGUAGGAAUACCCGCUGAACUUAA